Molecule: unclassified non-coding RNA, 374 nt
Filed under: plant metagenome
Description: partial contains 5.8S ribosomal RNA, internal transcribed spacer 2, and large subunit ribosomal RNA
Rfam family: 5.8S ribosomal RNA (bases 1-106)
Source: RNAcentral
AAAAUGCGAUACUUGGUGUGAAUUGCAGAAUCCCGUGAACCAUCGAGUUUUGAACGCAAGUUGCGCCCGAAGCCAUCCGGCUGAGGGCACGCCUGCCUGGGCGUCACGCAUCGCGUCGCUCCCCACCAUACCUCCCCAACGGGUUGGCAUGGUGUUGGGGGCGGAUAAUGGCCUCCCGUGCUUGUGUUUCGGUUGGCCUAAAUAGGAGUUCCCUUCGGCGGACACACGACUAGUGGUGGUUGAAUAGACCCUCGUCUUUUGUUGCGUGUCGUGAGCUGUAAGGGUAGCCCUCAUCAAAGACCCCAUUGUAUCGUCUUCGGAUGAUGCUUCGACCGCGACCCCAGGUCAGGCGGGACUACCCGCUGAGUUUAAGC